GACCCCUAGCCUGGGAACUUCCACAUGCCGCAGGUUCGGUCCUAAAAAUACAAGAAAAAAAAAGAAGAAAGGAAAGAGUGACCCAUGCUGCAAUUAACUCAUUCCAUCAAACAAUCACAAUGUACUCAAAAAUAAGUCAUAAAGUGAGAGAAAUCUGCAUAAUCCCUUAAUUCUUUUAGUGCAUUUUUGUCUUUAAUCUUGUGUUUUCAAGCAAAUGAUGAAAAAAACCCUAAAAUCCUUUGUUCCAACUGACUUCCAAGAUUUAAAAGUUAUUCUCAUGUGUAGGUUUUGCCUUAGGAUGCUCUCCUUCACAAGCUCACACUGUCUUUUAGUGAAAGGGUAGCCUCUCAUACCUAGCCUCCAAGUUCAGGGCAGGCCAGCGGGGCCAGUCUCUGCAGGGCAGGCAAUUUAAAGACAGUGACUGAUUCCUGUUCAACACAGGUAGUUUCUGCUUAAGAAUGAUUUCUAGGUACUACAGAAAAGUCUUACUUCUGUGGAAUAAAAUUCACAAACCCUAAAUUUCUGAAAAUAUAACCCUUAACAUUUGCUUCAAUUAUUUUUUCUUUCCUCCUGAAAGAUACAGCAUAAAUUAGGACAUAGAUGAUCAGAUCAAGGAGCAGCCCUUAAUCUGUAAAUAAUCUCUCUGGCUUCUUGGCAAUCAGGAAAACAGUGGGAAACAGCCGGUUUAAGAUGAACGUGACAACCUAUUAGCAUUCAGAGAGAAAUGAUUUCUCUCAUCACCUUUACUGGGAGAUGCUGUUGCUGUGGCAACUGGCCCCUGCAUUCAUCCCAUAUCCAAUUGCUGAGAUGACAAGGAAGUUGGUCAGGCUAAGAGAAGAUCAUUCACACUACCCCUUUUAAGUGACAACCAACAAGAUCUGUAAGGGAUUUCCUUAUACAAUCCCAACACUUUUUACUGUGGUGAAAUUAAUGCUUGAGUAGGCUUCCCUUACUUGGGUCUUUGGCUAAAACUGAAGAGUUCUUUAAUUGAAUUGGUUAACAUUUAACUUCAUGAACUAUGAUAGGCCUCAGGGACAAUAUUUUAAAGGUUCUUUAUUGGAGAUGUUGCUACAUAAAGGUAUGUGGGGGGACUCAAUAUGUUGCUACGGAGUACAAAAUGCUCUGGGCAGAGAUAUUCUGCAAAUGGACUUAACAGGUGUUGAAGCACAGCUGUCUCCUCACACCAUGCAGACUUCAAGUGGAGGCUGAAAUGCAGACCAGACUGUGUUUUACACUUUACUCCUCUGUCAGAAACUUGCCUGCACACUCAACAAGCCCUGGACUCUUCAUGUCAAUGGCAAAUGAGGAUGUCUCUGCACUCGGUAGUGACUGGCUUGCUACAGGAUCCCUCAUAGACUUGCAUUUCUCCAUUUGUCUGCAAACACACAUGCUUCUCAGAGAGGAACAAAGUAGUGCAACUGACAUCAUUUCAUUUUAUUUCCUGAAGGAAACACAAAGGAACUGGCUCCUCCUGGGCAACCAUGUCAGAUGGUUUUGGAGCACUUCCAUGUCAUGAUGCCCUUCAUUACACCUGUUGUCAAAACACAAGACCUACAUUUCCCAUCCUGCUUAAAUAAUAAAUGUACACCUUGUAAAAGUUUCAUGCUUACAGAGAAUGAAAAGGAGGGUGUUCCUGUUGUGGCUCAGAGGGUGACGAACCUGACUAGUAUCCAAGAGGAUUCAGGUUCAAUCCCUGGCCUCUCUCAGUGGGUUAAAGGAUCCGGCAUUGCCAAGAGCUGUGGUAUAAUUUGCAGACGAGGCUCGGACCCCAUGUUACUGUGGCUGUGGUGUAGGCUGGCAGCUGCAGCUCCAAUCCAACCCCUAGCCUGGGAGCUUCCAUAUGCUGCUGGUGCAGCUGUAAAAAAGAAAAAAAAAAAGGAGUAUAUUUUCAAAAUUAUAUGGUCCUCAGGUGCACACUGACAGCUCUUCCAUUCCCAGGCAGUCACACCCAGUCCCACUCGCCACAAACAUGACAUUUCUGAGACCUCCAACCAAUGCCCUUGUCCAGUCUGUGCCCCAAACAAAAAUGUGCUAUUGCUUUUGCCCACUUGUGAAGGAAGCUCUCAAUGGCUACUUUGGAAACUUGGCAGACAGAAGAGACAGCAAGCAGCAGCACAAAUAGAUGCCUUUGGGCUGGUAGCCACCAGCUAGGGAGCCUCUACAUGUUAGUAGUCACUUAAUGGAUACAGAGCUCUCAUGGGACACACUGUGGCCCAUACAUAUAUAUAAAAAUUGUAAUAAAAUCAUUUUAAUUAUAGCUAAUAUUUGUGAGCACGGACAAAAUGUCACUUAAAUCACAAUUUGCAUGCAUUGUCAUCUUUGGUCUUCCCAGAUACUACACCAGCUAAGAAAAGACCAUUACUGUCAUCAUUCUGAGGCUUAGAGAAGUUCAGUAAUUUUUUCAAAAUCUUAAGAUAUAGAGGCAGAAAAAUCCUGAUCUUACUAAGGCCAAAGCCUAAUGUCACUCAAUGCAUCUAUUAUUUUACCUAAUCCAAUGCAUCUGUUAUUUUUCAGAUGCUCUUAAGCACAGUUGUAAAUUUCCCCUUCCUCCCUCCUUAGGUUAAGGUCACAGUCUUAAUCAUUUUUUUCUGUAAGACCAGGCACAGUGUUUGGCACAAGACUCAUGCUUGAGAAAUCGCUGCUGAUUAGAAAAACAGCUUUUGGUUGCAGAUUGAGAAAGGUUUUGCUGUGGUCACUUUGGGAGCCUUUGGAACAUGCUGCCUUAUGUACAUCUUUUGCCUGAGAUCUUGCCUCUUUUCCAGACUUGCAACACACUGGCAAGACUACUGGAUUUACAAAUUUGAGAAUUCCCUUUGUAACACUGAACUCUAUGAACACUGUGACACUGAAGAACCCACAUGCAUGUUGUCCAGUUAUUUAAACCAAUAUGGGCCACCCCUGGGCAGUUUUAGAAGAAUAAGAGGUUUUUUUUUUUUUUUUUUUUAAGACUAAAUAAAAUUAGAGUAUUUAAAAAGGAAAACUGUCUGAUGCAGAUGUAUAUGGCAAGGUUCCAACCCUUUGUAAGCAAGCCUUUGAGUGAUUUCUAUAGGCUUGCCUCGCCUCAUUUCAUAUUGUAGAGAGCAGACCAAGUUCCUGUGCAACGUCCCACUGAGGCAUACCUGUCCUGGGCUGUGGGGUUCCUCUCCCUGCUAAUGAUACACAAGCUGAGGUACCAAACUACAGCAGAGCAAGCAGUGCCAAGGCUAUUGAUCACCAAGUGCCUAGGACAGACCCUAUUGAUAUCAACUUUGGGGGUUUAUUCAGUUUUGAGAUUUAAAAUAUUAUAAGAUAAAAUUGUACUUGGCUCAUGUAGAAAAUUUGAAAAUACAGGUAAAUUAAAAGAAAAUUUGAAACACAUAAUUCUGCUCCAUAGGAUAGCAUUUAGUGUAUGACUUCCAAAAUUUGUCUAUUUUUAAAGAAAAAUGGAUUACACUAAACCUACUGUUUUUGUAAAUCUAACAUAUUGUGAACACCUUUAUAUGCCACAUAUUCACCUUUGCUAUUAUUUCAGUAGUUGUAUGGUCCAUCUUAUAUGAUUAAACCAUAAUUUAUUUAACCAAAUUCUCUGUUGUUAGAUCUUGAGUUGCUCAUAUAUAUACUUUAUUGAUCAUUUUUGAGUAUAAAUCUUUACAUAGUGGUUAUUUACUUAAGAUAAAUUCCUUAAAGUAGAAAUGCCAGAUCCCAGGGUAUAUAAGUUUUUAAGGUUUUUGAUACAUAUUUUCAAAAUGCCUUCCAGACAAUGUAAAUCAAUUUACCCUUUGCCACCAGGGAUUCUUUUCUUUUGUUAAUCAAAAUCUUAGGUAUCCCAGAGUCAAAUAUAAAUGUUCUUUGGUAGCCCACAUCACUGCUUUGCUCUGCUAACACUGGUAAUCACAAUUAGUAACAGUGAGUUCCUAUGAUAAGUAAAUUGAUGAAAUACUCUGCCAUUUUUCACAGUAAGUAGAUGUGAAACCCAUCAGACACUGGGCAUUACACUUUCCCCUGGGGGCUGCCCAAUCUGAGCACAGUCAUGGAGGUGGCUCCAAGAAGGGCCAGCCUCUGAUCAUUCAUCUUGGGACAGUGGAAUUUUAUGGGUCAAGGCAAGUUACAGUCAAAGGUACCAUUGUGUUUUCAGAGGUCCUGUGAGCCAAGUUUGUAGCAAGAGCCAGCCUACAUCCAUGGAAGAUUGUGGACUUUAGCAGAGACCUUCAGAGGCUAUUUCAGACUUUUGGAAGAACACGCCUUCCCUUAGCAUCUCAGAGGUCCUCUGAGCCAGAAGAAAUUGCCCAAGCUGGUGCCCCCAGAGCCCUGCAGGGCUGGAGCAGCCCCCUAAUUUCCCAUCAAGACCUUUGCUCAUCAGCAGACAUCAUUGGCUUUAUACUGGAUAGAGCUGAGCUGAUUCCACUGAUGGCAGUGUAAAGUAGAUAACAGAUUAGAAGAGUCUACAUGCAAACAUACGUUUCCUAAUAAUUAAACUUCAAACUCGAUUUUCAGGUGAAGAAAAACCUACCUAAUAUUUCUGUAGUGAAUUACAAAUUAUACAAAUUAUCCUCAUUCAUUCAUUUAUUCAUUCAUAAAAUAAUUAUUCCAUGCAAUAUAGGAUGUUAUUAAGAGUAUGGCCCCAGAGUCAGACUACCUGAGUUCAAAUCCCAGCUUCAGCUCUUGUUGUGUGAUCUUACACAAGUUACUUUUCCUUUUGUAUCUCAGUUUUCUCGUGUAUAAAAUGGAGGUAAUACAUUACAGGAUUUCUGUGAUGACUAAGUGAUAUAUUUAAUUUACCUGCUUAGAACUUUUGUAUAUAAAAUAAUAUCUAGAACCUAAAGGCUUAAUGAAUGCCAGCUCUUAUUCUUACUUCUACGUACCCAGGCACCAGCUGGAAACUAGAGACAUGGAUGCGCAUACCAUGGCCUCCAAAGGCUUCCUAAUUGAUAGAGAAAACAAACCAUUAGGGCCGCAUGUGGAGUGUGAUGCCAUAGAUGUGAAGAGGUUUCCAGGGCAUCAUGAAGAAAGAGGGGUUCACUCUG
Molecule: long non-coding RNA, 5003 nt
Filed under: Sus scrofa (pig)
Lineage: Eukaryota; Metazoa; Chordata; Mammalia; Artiodactyla; Suidae
Description: lncRNA (ENSSSCG00000055950.1)
Source: RNAcentral